Molecule: ribosomal RNA, 484 nt
Filed under: uncultured bacterium
Lineage: Bacteria
Description: bacterial SSU rRNA
Rfam family: Bacterial small subunit ribosomal RNA
Source: RNAcentral
UGGACGCUAGCGGCAGGCUUAACAACAUGCAAGUCGAGGGGUAGUAGGUUUUCGGGUACCUAGAGACCGGCGCACGGGUGCGUAACGCGUAUGCAAUCUACCUUUUUACAGAGGGAUAGCCCACGAGAAAUUUGGAUUAAUAACCUCAUAGUAUAACACAACCGCAUGGUUGAGUUAUUAAAGUUCCAACGGUAUAAGAUGAGCAUGCGUCCUAUUAGCUAGAUGGUAAGGUAACGGCUUACCAUGGCUACGAUAGGUAGGGGUCCUGAGAGGGAGAUCCCCCACACUGGUACUGAGACACGGACCAGACUCCUACGGGAGGCAGCAGUGAGGAAUAUUGGACAAUGGGCGCAAGCCUGAUCCAGCCAUGCCGCGUGCAGGAAGACGCAUCUAUGGUGUGUAAACUGCUUUUGUACGGGAAGAAACACUCCUUCGUGAAGGAGCUUGACGGUACCGGUAAGAAUAAGGAUCGGCUAACUCCGUG